RNAcentral lists this ribosomal RNA (468 nucleotides) under uncultured bacterium. RNAcentral's name for it is "partial 16S ribosomal RNA". It matches the Rfam family "Bacterial small subunit ribosomal RNA", at positions 28 to 507 of the family's 1533-position model. The record is from RNAcentral.
GACGAACGCUGGCGGCGUGCUUAACACAUGCAAGUCGAACGGAAAGGCCCUGCUUUUGUGGGGUGCUCGAGUGGCGAAUGGGUGAGUAACACGUGAGUAACCUGCCCUUGACUUUGGGAUAACUUCAGGAAACUGGGGCUAAUACCGGAUAGGAGCUCCUGCUGCAUGGUGGGGGUUGGAAAGUUUCGGCGGUUGGGGAUGGACUCGCGGCUUAUCAGCUUGUUGGUGGGGUAGUGGCUUACCAAGGCUUUGACGGGUAGCCGGCCUGAGAGGGUGACCGGCCACAUUGGGACUGAGAUACGGCCCAGACUCCUACGGGAGGCAGCAGUGGGGAAUAUUGCACAAUGGGCGGAAGCCUGAUGCAGCAACGCCGCGUGCGGGAUGACGGCCUUCGGGUUGUAAACCGCUUUCGCUUGUGACGAAGCGUGAGUGACGGUAAUGGGUAAAGAAGCACCGGCUAACUACGUG